CCUAGUAAGCGCGAGUCACUAGCUCGCGUUGAUUACGUCCCUGCCCUUUGUACACACCGCCCGUCGCUACUACCGAUUGAAUGGCUUAGUGAGACUUUCGGAUGUGUUUGGAGCCGCUGGCAACAGCGACACCUUGCGCAGAAGUUAUUCAAACUUGGUCAUUUAGAGGAAGUAAAAGUCGUAACAAGGUUUCCGUAGGUGAACCUGCGGAAGGAUCAUUAAAAAAAAAAUUUAAUGAAUGGUCGGGGGGGAAUUUUUUUGUGCCCUUCGGCUUUAUUCAACCAACCCGCUCUUGUAUUUUGUAUCAAACAAAAAUUUUUAAAAACACUAAUAAAAUAGUAAUGUAAAAAAAAAACUUUCAACAACGGAUCUCUUGGCUCUCGCAUCGAUGAAGAGCGCAGCGAAAUGCGAUAAGUAGUGGKGAAUUGCAGAACUUUGUGAMCCAUCGAAUCUUUGAACCGCAAAUUGCGCCUUUUUCGGAAGGCAUGUCUGUUUGAGGGCACCAUUUAACAAAUAAUGUGCGGUGUUGCGUUUUGCGCGGCGUGCACACGUUGAUGAGCUUUCCAAGGAAAAAUUUUUUUUUUUUUUGGUGGCGCAUAAUGAACAGCGUGAAAGCUUUUCUWAAUUCGAGUGUAGUAAAAACGACGCUUGGGUUUGUGAGAAGCACAUCGCGCAGUGGGUGUGGCGGUACCCAGCCCCAACGCCACUCUUUCUCACGAAAGAAAAGUUUAAUCAUCAAGGGCCUCAAAUCAGACAAGAGUACCCGCUGAACUUAAGCAUAUCAAUAAGCGGAGGAAAAGAAACUAACAAGGAUUCCCCUAGUAACGGCGAGUGAAGCGGGAACAGCUCAAAUUUUAAAUCUGGCUGCUUCSCAGCCCGAGUUGUUAKUUUGAAGGAGUCUGUCGYCAGUGCGACGAUGGCACAAGUCCUUCUGGAACGUGGCAUCGUAGAGGGUGAGAAUCCCGUCUCUGGUCGUUGUUGCGCUKGCACAACGGCAGACAUCCCGAAGAGUCGAGUUUGUUUGGGAUUGCAGCUYCAAAUGGGUGGUAAACCUCCAUCCUAAAGGGCUAAAUAAUUGGCGAAGAGAACCGAUAGCGAACAAGUACCGUGAGGGAAAGAUGAAAAGAACUUUGAAAAGAGAGUAAAACAGUACGUGAAAUUGUUGAAAGGGAAACGCUUGAAGUCAGUCGUGCCGGCGGUGAUUCAGCUCGCUUCGCAGAGCGGGCGUAUUUCCUCGCAUGGCAGGUCAGCGUCAGUUUCGCGCGUCGUGAAAGGGCUCGGGUAAGGUGACUCUCUCCGGGGAGUGUUAUAGACCUGAGCAGAUGCGCUGCGCGGGACUGAGGAUUGCAGCGGACACCCUUCGGGGCGCGGCGACCGACCCCUGCUUCAUCACCCUUGUCCGAUAGCGUGCUAACGGGCCGGGGAGCGGUGGGCGCACCGGGUUGGCAAGCCGGCGGCUCCGCUAAGGACGCUGAUGUAAUGGCUUUAAACGACCCGUCUUGAAACACGGACCAAGGA
RNAcentral lists this ribosomal RNA (1518 nucleotides) under uncultured Glomeromycotina. Its description in RNAcentral is "eukaryotic LSU rRNA". Lineage: Eukaryota; Fungi; Glomeromycota. The record is from RNAcentral.